RNAcentral lists this unclassified non-coding RNA (225 nucleotides) under plant metagenome. Its description in RNAcentral is "partial contains small subunit ribosomal RNA, internal transcribed spacer 1, and 5.8S ribosomal RNA". The record is from RNAcentral.
UCUCCGUUGGUGAACCAGCGGAGGGAUCAUUACAGGACUCGCAAGACUCCUACAACCCUGUGAACUUAACUAUAAGCACGUUGCUUUGGCGGGUGUCUCGGAGGGGGUUCUCCCUCCCCGAGACGCUAAACCCGCCGGCAGCCUACUAUACUCUGUCUCUUUGCGUUGGCAUCUCGAGUACAAUCAAACAAGUUAAAACUUUCAACAACGGAUCUCUUGGUUCUG